RNAcentral lists this transfer RNA (91 nucleotides) under Oceanimonas doudoroffii. RNAcentral describes it as "tRNA-Ser". It matches the Rfam family "tRNA". From Rfam's summary of the family: Transfer RNA (tRNA) molecules are approximately 80 nucleotides in length. Their secondary structure includes four short double-helical elements and three loops (D, anti-codon, and T loops). Lineage: Bacteria; Pseudomonadati; Pseudomonadota; Gammaproteobacteria; Aeromonadales; Aeromonadaceae. The record is from RNAcentral. RNAcentral also lists the same sequence under 6 other names.
GGAGGGGUGGCAGAGUGGUUGAAUGCACCGGUCUUGAAAACCGGCGUGGGUUUAUAGCCCACCGUGGGUUCAAAUCCCACCUCCUCCGCCA